CGCCGACGAGACGCUGGAGCGGUUCGCCGCGGCCAUGGGCCGCGACGGCAGCACCGGGGCGGCCGACGGCGUCGAGGCGCUGGUCGACGCC
Molecule: transfer RNA, 91 nt
Filed under: Streptomyces sp. IB2014 011-1
Lineage: Bacteria; Bacillati; Actinomycetota; Actinomycetes; Kitasatosporales; Streptomycetaceae
Description: tRNA-His
Source: RNAcentral